CUCUCAACUCAUAUGGUC
RNAcentral lists this non-coding RNA (18 nucleotides) under Arabidopsis thaliana (thale cress). Lineage: Eukaryota; Viridiplantae; Streptophyta; Magnoliopsida; Brassicales; Brassicaceae. The record is from RNAcentral.